UCCGGGGUCGUCCAACGGCAAGACAGUGGCCUUUGAAGCCAUUUAUCCUGGUUCGAAUCCAGGCCCCGGAA
This 71-nucleotide transfer RNA is filed under the name Candidatus Magasanikiibacteriota bacterium. RNAcentral describes it as "tRNA-Gln". It matches the Rfam family "tRNA". From Rfam's summary of the family: Transfer RNA (tRNA) molecules are approximately 80 nucleotides in length. Their secondary structure includes four short double-helical elements and three loops (D, anti-codon, and T loops). Lineage: Bacteria; Candidatus Magasanikiibacteriota. The record is from RNAcentral.